AGAGUUUGAUCCUGGCUCAGGAUCAACGCUGGCGGCGUGCCUAAUGCAUGCAAGUCGCACGGGACACCUUCGGGUGUUCAGUGGCGAACGGCUGAGGAACACGUGCGUAUCUGCCUUUCCGUGGGGAAUAACGGGUGGAAACACCCGCUAAUACCGCGUACGCUUGCUUCGGCAAGGAAAGCCUUCGGGCGCGGGGAGAGGAGCGCGCGGCCCAUCAGGUAGAUGGCGGGGUAAUGGCCCACCAUGCCGGUGACGGGUCGCUGGUCUGUGAGGAUGACCAGCCAGACUGGGACUGCGACACGGCCCAGACACCUACGGGUGGCAGCAGCAAGGAAUCUUCGGCAAUGGGCGCAAGCCUGACCGAGCAACGCCGCGUGGAGGACGACGGCCUUCGGGUUGUAAACUCCUUUUCUGUGGGAUGAUACGGACAGUACCGCAGGAAUAAGCCCCGGCUAACUCUGUGCCAGCAGCCGCGGUAAUACAGAGGGGGCAAGCGUUGUCCGGACUUACUGGGCGUACAGCGCGCGCAGGUGGUCGGCUAAGUUCGUGGUGACAGCGUGCGGCUCAACCGCACACGGUCCAUGGAGACUGGUCGACUAGAGGCAUCGAGAGGGAUACGGAAUACCCGGUGGAGCGGUGAAAUGCGUAGAGAUCGGGUGGAACACCAGCGGCGAAGGCGGUAUCCUGGCGAUGACCUGACACUGAGGCGCGACAGCGUGGGGAGCAAACGGGAUUAGAUACCCUAGUAGUCC
This 752-nucleotide ribosomal RNA is filed under the name uncultured bacterium. RNAcentral describes it as "bacterial SSU rRNA". It matches the Rfam family "Bacterial small subunit ribosomal RNA", at positions 8 to 796 of the family's 1533-position model. The record is from RNAcentral.